CUCCGUAGGUGAACCUGCGGAGGGAUCAUUACAAGAACGCCCGGGCUUCGGCCUGGUUAUUCAUAACCCUUUGUUGUCCGACUCUGUUGCCUCCGGGGCGACCCUGCCUUCGGGCGGGGGCUCCGGGUGGACACUUCAAACUCUUGCGUAACUUUGCAGUCUGAGUAAACUUAAUUAAUAAAUUAAAACUUUAACAACGGAUCUCUUGGUUCUGGCAUCGAUGAAGAACGCAGCGAAAUGCGAUAAGUAAUGUGAAUUGCAGAAUUCAGUGAAUCAUCGAAUCUUUGAACGCACAUUGCGCCCCUGGUAUUCCGGGGGGCAUGCCUGUUCGAGCGUCAUUUCACCACUCAAGCCUCGCUUGGUAUUGGGCAACGCGGUCCGCCGCGUGCCUCAAAUCGUCCGGCUGGGUCUUCUGUCCCCUAAGCGUUGUGGAAACUAUUCGCUAAAGGGUGUUCGGGAGGCUACGCCGUAAAACAACCCCAUUUCUAAGGUUGACCUCGGAUCAGGUAGGGACACCCGCUGAACUUA
Molecule: ribosomal RNA, 528 nt
Filed under: uncultured fungus
Lineage: Eukaryota; Fungi
Description: eukaryotic LSU rRNA
Rfam family: 5.8S ribosomal RNA (bases 186-338)
Source: RNAcentral